Molecule: long non-coding RNA, 1936 nt
Filed under: Salmo salar (Atlantic salmon)
Lineage: Eukaryota; Metazoa; Chordata; Actinopteri; Salmoniformes; Salmonidae
Description: lncRNA (ENSSSAG00000103083.1)
Source: RNAcentral
GGAGGUAAGGCAAUAUAUAGGCCCUAGAAGCAGUUUAGCAUUAACACUGGAGUGAUAGAUGUGCAGAUGAUGAUGUGCAAGUAGAGAUACUGGGGGUGCAAAAGUGCAAGAGUGUAAGUAAUAAUAUGGGGAUGAGGUAGUUGGGUGGGGAUAUUUACAGAUGGGCUGUGUACAGGUACAGUGAUCGGUUAGCUGCUCUGACAGCUGAUGCUUAAAGUUAAUGAGGGAGAUCAAAGACUCCAGCUUCAGUGAUUUUUGCAGUUCGUUCCAGUCAUUGGCAGCAGAGAACUGGAAGGAAAGGCGGCCAAAGGAAGUGUUGGCUUUGGGGGUGACAAGUGAGAUGUACCUGCUGGAGCGUGUGCUACAGGUGGGUGUUGCUAUGGUGAGCAGUGAGCUGAGAUAAGGCGGGGCUUUACCUAGCAGGGUCUUGUAGAUGACCUGGAGCCAGUGGGUUUGGCGACGGAUGUGUAUUGAGGGCCAGCCAACGAGAGCAUACAGGUCGCAGUAGUGGGUGUUAUAUGGGGCUUUGGUGACAAAACGGAUGGCACUGUGAUAGACUACAUCCAAUUUGUUGAGGAGAGUGUUGGAGGCUAUUUUGUAAAUGACAUCGCCGAGGUCAAGGAUCGGUAGGAUAGUCAGUUUUACGAGGGUAUGUUUGGCAGCAUGAGUGAAGGAUGCUUUGUUGCGAAAUAGGAAGCCGAUUCUAGAUUUAAUUUUGGAUUGGAGAUACUUAAUGUGAGUCUGGAAAGAGAGUUUACAGUCUAGCCAGACACCUAGGUAUUUGUAAUUGUCCAGAUAUUCUAGGUCAGAACCGUCCAGAGUAGUGAUGCUGGACGGGCGGGCAGGUGCAGGCAGCAAUUGGCUGAUCGCUUUUAUCUGUUCUAAAAAGUGUUCAGAGAGGAGAGAAGGAGAGGAGAAAUAGAGAAAUGUGAGAUGUGAUGGGAAUAUUUUUUCGGGUCUGUGUUUGUGUUUGUGUCUGUGUUUGUGUGUGUGAGUGUUAACGCACCUGCAUGUGUGUAUGUGUGAGAGAGAGAGAGAGAGGUAGAGUCUUCGGAGCGAAACACUAAGCUGACAGAACGUAAUUUUAACCUUUGUUGUGACAGUUUCUGACAAGUCUUUUUCUAUAACACCAUCCAUCAGCUUUAGCUUUUGACAAGAGUAUUUCUACAAAAUCUCUAGGGAUGCACCUGAAAUGCCACCAUAUGAUCUAUAUAGUUCACUACCGUUGACCAGGGUAGUAGACCACUGUAGACCAGGGUAGUGGACUACUGUAGACCAGGGUAGUGGACUACUGUAGACCAGGGUAGUGGACUACAGUAGACCAGGGUAGUGGACUACUGUUGACCAGGGUAGUGAACCACUGUAGACCAGGGUAGUGGACCACUGUAGACCAGGGUAGUGGACCACUGUUGACCAGGGUAGUGGACUACUGUAGACCAGGGCAGUGGACUACUGUAGACCAGGGUAGUGGACUACUGUUGACCAGGGUAGUGGACCACUGUAGACCAGGGUAGUGGACUACUGUAGACCAGGGUAGUGGACUACUGUAGACCAGGGUAGUGGACUACUGUUGACCAGGGUAGUGGACCACUGUAGACCAGGGUAGUGGACUACUGUAGACCAGGCUAGUGGACCACUGUAGACCAGGGUAGUGGACUACUGUUGACCAGGGUAGUGGACUACUGUUGACCAGGGCAGUGGACUACUGUAGACCAGGGUAGUGGACUACUGUUGACCAGGGUAGUGGACUACUGUUGACCAAGGUAGUGGACUACUGUAGACCAGGGUAGUGGACUACUGUAGACCAGGGUAGUGGACUACUGUAGACCAGGGUAGUGGACUACUGUUGACCAGGCUAGUGGACUACUGUUGACCAGGGUAGUGGACUACUGUAGACCAGGGUAGUGGACUACUGUUGACCAGGGUAGUGGACUAC